GACCUGCGGAAGGAUCAUUAAAGAGUAAGGGUGCUCAGCGCCCGACCUCCAACCCUUUGUUGUUAAAACUACCUUGUUGCUUUGGCGGGACCGCUCGGUCUCGAGCCGCUGGGGAUUCGUCCCAGGCGAGCGCCCGCCAGAGUUAAACCAAACUCUUGUUAUUAAACCGGUCGUCUGAGUUAAAAUUUUGAAUAAAUCAAAACUUUCAACAACGGAUCUCUUGGUUCUCGCAUCGAUGAAGAACGCAGCGAAAUGCGAUAAGUAAUGUGAAUUGCAGAAUUCAGUGAAUCAUCGAAUCUUUGAACGCACAUUGCGCCCCUUGGUAUUCCGAGGGGCAUGCCUGUUCGAGCGUCAUUACACCACUCAAGCUAUGCUUGGUAUUGGGUGCCGUCCUUAGUUGGGCGCGCCUUAAAGACCUCGGCGAGGCCUCACCGGCUUUAGGCGUAGUAGAAUUUAUUCGAACGUCUGUCAAAGGAGAGGACUUCUGCCGACUGAAACCUUUUAUUUUUCUAGGUUGACCUCGGAUCAGGUAGGGAUACCCGCUGAACUUAAGCAUAUCAAUA
RNAcentral lists this ribosomal RNA (563 nucleotides) under Aureobasidium pullulans. Its description in RNAcentral is "eukaryotic LSU rRNA". The stretch from base 201 to 354 matches the Rfam family "5.8S ribosomal RNA". Lineage: Eukaryota; Fungi; Ascomycota; Dothideomycetes; Dothideales; Saccotheciaceae. The record is from RNAcentral.